UUAUCACGGCUUGGAAACGGAGGCAGCAUCUUUGACAGAGGCGUCACCUCCACCGUUACCCAUAGUAGCUGACUGGACAGUCAACACGGACAUGCUAGGCGAGGAAGGUCCUUCACCGUUGGACUGGAGCAAAUGGUGGUGGUGAUUGGAGUUAUUGGUGUUGAGGACUGGAUUCCGGGAGUGAGAGGUGGCGGUUGAAAUGGCAGUGGCGAGAGAAAUAGGCAUGAGGCAGAGGCCUUUUCCCUGUAAAUACUGCAUGGCGGAGCCCAUGUCUUCUUCCAUUAGCUUAGCGACUUGGUGUUCAGUGACAGUAAGGGUGUCGUUGGAAGACGGAGUUUGGGUAGCAUUAGUAGAGGUGCAAGGAAGGGACCCACCAUUAGCAGUG
RNAcentral lists this unclassified non-coding RNA (385 nucleotides) under Hevea brasiliensis (rubber tree). The record is from RNAcentral. Lineage: Eukaryota; Viridiplantae; Streptophyta; Magnoliopsida; Malpighiales; Euphorbiaceae.